CAUCCCCAUGAUGAUCCUGUGAUCAGAAGUAAUUUAAGAAUUAACUAUCAAUGAUAUAUGUCUCAAAUUCUCAACUCUUUGAGCAUAUGUAUCAUCAUCUUGUUAAUUUCUUAGAUGAUUCAUAGGCACAUAAAAUAUAAAUAUAAAUAUAAAUACUCAAGAAGUACAAAAUCAUAUUCUAGUAAUAUGAUAUGUGUCAGCCA
RNAcentral lists this long non-coding RNA (203 nucleotides) under Elaeis guineensis (African oil palm). Its description in RNAcentral is "long non-coding RNA (EGUI_LNC013590)". Lineage: Eukaryota; Viridiplantae; Streptophyta; Magnoliopsida; Arecales; Arecaceae. The record is from RNAcentral.